Molecule: long non-coding RNA, 961 nt
Filed under: Cricetulus griseus (Chinese hamster)
Lineage: Eukaryota; Metazoa; Chordata; Mammalia; Rodentia; Cricetidae
Description: lncRNA (ENSCGRG00015001209.2)
Source: RNAcentral
GGGAAACUUGUUUCAGAGUUGAGGCUUGAGCUGAGAGCUAUUAUUGGCUGGCAGACAAAGAGGUGGGGGUGGAAAAGUUGCUAGGAGAAACAAGGCCCUGAGGCAACAUUAGAUGAACUUUCAGCAGGACUGGCUCUGUUCCGUUUGCUUUGUUUUUGUAUAAUCGGGUUGCUGAAUGCACGUAUAACAAAAGGAAACCUUCAUCUGUGGCAGAUUUAAAGAUAAGAAGAGCCCUGAAAAAACCCAACACGAUUUCCUUGGAAUUCAGUGAGCUCCCAGCAUCAGUUCAGGCAGAAACCAGAAGCCUACUGGCCGAGGCUUGCAAGGGAUUCCUUGUUUGGGAGGGAUGUUAGACCAAGUGAUCACUCACAACUCUUCCAGGGAAAUAUAUAUAGGAAGAGAAAAAGGAGGCCACAGUGAACACCCACAAAGAAUAAGACUGUAGGCCUGAAUAAUACCCCAAAGAAAACAAGAUUGUUGCAUAUUUGAACAGAUGUUUUAAAAAUUUAUUACAAAAAAAGGCAUCUAUUAAAUAAAAUUUUAAAUAUGGAAGUUGUAAAAACAUCAGCUUUAAUUAUCAUGUAAAUAACUAGUUAUGUUUUUAUGUUUGUUUCUUCUAGAGUUCUUAUGCAUCUACAUUUAAAUUUUAAAAUUUGUGAGUACACUGCUGCCCAAAUGAGGUCCUUAUAGGACAGCUUGUGGAAGUAGAUUAUUCCCUUCUACUAUGUGGAUUCCAGGAAUUGAACUCAGGUCACCAGGCUUGGCAGCAAGCACCCCUAUCCACUUAGCCAUCUCACCAGUGCCAUGUAAAUGUGGUGUCAUUGUGAUAUUUCUGUAGGAGCUGUUUUGAACCUGCAAUCAUUCAUUGCUAGAUAGAUUGGAGUAUCUAACUUGUUGGGCCAGAAACUUCGUUCCCUAGAGCUUUGAUACCUGUGUCUUAGCUUUUUUUUUUUUUUAUGUU